CAUCUUUAAACCUUUGUUUUCUCAUCUGUAAAAUGGGAAUAACAAUGAUAAUACCUCCUUCAGAAUUGCAUUAAUAUUUGCAUAAGAUUACUGAGAAAUUUCAGUGAAAUAAUAAAAUGACCAUUGUUUGUUACUGUGAACAACAGUAACACUUAUAUAAUACUAAAAGUAAUGAGAAUCUCUUGCAGGACAAAGCCCACAAACGCUAUCUGCUAAUGAGCAUUGACCAGAGGAAAAAGAUGCUCAAAAACCUCCGUAACACCAACUAUGAUGUCUUUGAGAAGAUAUGCUUGGGGCUGGGGAUUGAGUACACCUUCCCCCCUCUGUAUUACCGAAGAGCCCACCGCCGAUUCGUGACCAAGAAGGCUCUGUGCAUUCGGGUUUUCCAGGAGACUCAAAAGCUGAAGAAGCGACGAAGAGCCUUAAAGGCUGCAGCAGCAGCCCAAAAACAAGCAAAGCGGAGGAACCUAGACAGCCCUGCCAAAGCCAUACCAAAGACACUCAAAGACAGCCAAUAAAUUCUGUUCAAUCAU
Molecule: small RNA, 533 nt
Filed under: Pan troglodytes (chimpanzee)
Lineage: Eukaryota; Metazoa; Chordata; Mammalia; Primates; Hominidae
Description: processed transcript
Source: RNAcentral